UUUAUAUAACCGUGAAAUAUAAAAUUCGAAAUCCAAAUAUAUAAAAGAAAAAAAAUCUACAUUAUAGAAAUAUUUACUUGUAAGUGUUCAAUAAAAUUAAAAUACACGGAAUCUAUAUGUGAACCACUAACAAUUUUUAUAGCUAAAAUAACUACACAAAUUUAUCUAAUUCUAUAGGAAUUUGAGAAGUGUGUAAUGUAAAUAAUGCUCCACCCAAUGUUGAAGAGUAAUUGACUGCGUAGACCACAUCAUUGCGUAUUACUUCAUUUAACCUGCACAUCAAAACCACCAAAUCUAACAAUGAAAAACAUCAAACAAAUAAUUGAGAAAUACGUGACAUGCGAAAGAAACUGUAAAUAUAUUUAUUAUAAAUAUAUUAUAAAUUCUUAAAGUUAUUGCCAUGUCAUGUGUAUAAAAUAUAUUCCUACAAGAAACUGUAACAUAAAACAUAUACCUGACCCAUCACCCAAAAUAUUCGAUUUUAAUAGUUGAGUAAAAUAAUAUAUGCUAAAACACUAAUAAUGUUAUAGUCUGAUGAAAUAAUUAGAGAAGGAAGAAUAACUCCACAAACUGCAACAUCUCAAUAUGUAUGUUUUAAUAAAGGAAGGGGGUUAAUGGUAGUCGAGCCGUACCACAUAUUAGAUGCAAAUGAGCAUACGAUUGCAAAACAACUAAGCAUAUAAACGUAAUUUGAAAAAAAAAAAAAGGCAAGCAUAAGAAUGUACUAAUGAAGAAUGUUAAAGUUACUAAUCAUAUAAUUAAAACCUGAUUUAGGCUCUUCGACAGCCUGCUCAAUGUGCUACACACAUAUACUACCCCACCACCUGUUUGACAAAUUUUCAAAGAGCAAUUAAAAAAAAAAUCAGUCAAUAUCCAACAACAAAGACAAAAAAUUAAAGAUUAAAAAAUACUAUACAUAUAUUAAAGCAUAGAAUCCUAGGGGAAUGUGAUUCCCGCCAAGAGCAACUUCCUUUGGCCCAAAAGUUAUUGCCUAAUUAUCCACUGGGUUUAGAGAAAAUCUGCAGCUUUUGUUUUUAAUAUUUUAAUAUUUCCCUUUUCUUUACACAUAGCUGGUAGAAUCCUUAAAUUUUGGCUCCAGAAAAAAGCGCCCAAACUGAAAUUUGAAAUUUAAAAACCACCAAUCUUGGAGCCAAUUUGCAUAACACUCCGCCUAUAAAUAUCAUUUCAUUUCAGACCUUUUUAUUCCGCGCCGAGGAUUUGUGCGACCCCCCUUCUCCCGAAGUUACGGGGCUCUUUUGCCUCUUCCCGAAAGCUGGAACUGAAGAUACAGAGGAGGGAUGCAGACGAGUGAGAAGGGAAGAUGCAGACGAGGGAAGGGGAAAAAAGGAGUAGGGGGAGAAGGCUAGAAUUCAAGAUGCAGACGAGGGAAGGGGAAAAAGGGAGCAGAGGAAUUAAGUGUGAUUUAAGAUCAUCUGCGUCUAGCGGCGCCGCUUCCCUUGUGAAGCCCUAAAAUGUUAGAUGAGUAUUUAUACUAUUUUUAGUUUGUGAGUAAUUAGUAUUUGGGCUUUGUACAUGGACUUUAUCUUUUAAUGGACUUCAGCCUACAACACAUAAAAAGCUAAAUAAAAAUAUUUCAUUAGUUUUAUGUUGUAAUUAUGAAUUGUGAAAUUAAGGAUAAUAUUUAUGUGGUAAUUGGGCUCAUUUGAAUUAGUAAAUUCGAAUA
Molecule: long non-coding RNA, 1684 nt
Filed under: Salvia miltiorrhiza (redroot sage)
Lineage: Eukaryota; Viridiplantae; Streptophyta; Magnoliopsida; Lamiales; Lamiaceae
Description: long non-coding RNA (SMIL_LNC008075)
Source: RNAcentral